UUUUGCACAAUGGGCGGAAGCCUGAUGCAGCGACGCCGCGUGAGGGAUGACGGCUNUCNNGUUGUNANCCUCUUUUAUCCAUGNNNNNGGCCAGGUUGUUGCCUGGUUGACGGUAGUGGUUGAAUAAGCGCCGGCUAACUACGUUCCAGCAGCCGCGGUAAGACGUAGGGCGCGAGCGUUGUCCGGAUUUAUUGGGCGUAAAGGGCUCGUAGGCGGCUCGUCGCGUCUGCCGUGAAAGACUACAGCUUAACUGUGGUUUUGCGGUGGAUACGGGCGGGCUUGAGGCCAGUAGGGGAGAUCGGAAUUCUACGUGUAGCGGUGAAAUGCGCAGAUAUGUGGAGGAACACCGGUGGCGAAGGCGGAUCUCUGGGCUGGUUCUGACGCUGAGGAGCGAAAGCAUGGGGAGCGAACAG
This 413-nucleotide ribosomal RNA is filed under the name uncultured bacterium. Its description in RNAcentral is "partial 16S ribosomal RNA". It matches the Rfam family "Bacterial small subunit ribosomal RNA", at positions 362 to 775 of the family's 1533-position model. The record is from RNAcentral.